Molecule: non-coding RNA, 809 nt
Organism: Leptonychotes weddellii (Weddell seal)
Lineage: Eukaryota; Metazoa; Chordata; Mammalia; Carnivora; Phocidae
Source: RefSeq, a predicted model, not a curated record
GGCAGACGCUUAACAACCGAGCCACCCAGGCGCCCCUGGAAUCCAGGUUGUUAACUCCGUGGCCUACUCAUUUUCUGUCCCAGACCCCGGGCUCCUGACCUGCAGGCUCAGUGUGGCUCAGUCGUAUUCAAAUACCCGGAUGCCUGGAUUGUUGGCCCCGUUGACCACUCCCGGAGAGAGACCGUGGGACUGAGAGAGAGGCUGGCAAGAGGAGGAGGGGGGUGGGCAGGCAGCUGUCCUCCACGGCGAGUACCUGCAUCAUCGUAGAACAUCCGGAAGCUGUCGGUGUGGUGGUGCCCGAAGAACUGCCCUGCGAUGACUCGAUGGUGCUUCCGGACCACCUUCAGGUCCAGUUACAGUUGGGGAAGGGGUCUGGUUCACCGUGGGAGCCUUAGGAGUUUCACGCAUUCCGUGAUUCAACAGUUGUUUACUGACACCUCGUGUGGGCCAACACAUAGACCCCGGAACCAGGCACCCAGUCCCAGUCCCAGGGGCCUCGAAGUGCAGUAGGGUUGACAGACAGGAAACGGAGUCUCCAGGGCGUUGCCCAGCCGGAAAACAGCCGGAACGCGGAGCAGGCUCUGCGUUCACCUGCGUUCGCCACUCAGCUGUGCUGGAGAAAACGGGCCAGCGUUCACAGUGACUCUGAUGGGGAACGCAGGUGGCACAUGGCAGGAAGAACACAUGACACAUGUUGUGGACCCAAAAUCUCGAGCUUCGGUCCCUUCCUCCUCUCCAGCGAUUUGCCUGACGUCUCUGUGCUUCGGCUUGUUUAUCUAUAAAAUGGAGAGUGUUCUGUUUGACCUGUG